UCAGGCCUAACACAUGCAAGUCGAACGGUAGAGGAGCAAUCCUCGAAAGUGGCGAACGGGUGAGUAAUACAUCGGAACGUGCCCAGUCGUGGGGGAUAACGUAGCGAAAGCUACGCUAAUACCGCAUACGACCCGAGGGUGAAAGCGGGGGACCGUAAGGCCUCGCGCGAUUGGAGCGGCCGAUGGCAGAUUAGGUAGUUGGUGGGGUGAAGGCCCACCAAGCCUGCGAUCGGUAGCUGGUCUGAGAGGACGACCAGGCACACUUGGACUGAGGCACGGCCCAGACUCCUGCGGGAGGCAGCAGUGGGGAAUUUU
RNAcentral lists this ribosomal RNA (315 nucleotides) under uncultured bacterium. RNAcentral's name for it is "bacterial SSU rRNA". It matches the Rfam family "Bacterial small subunit ribosomal RNA", at positions 43 to 365 of the family's 1533-position model. The record is from RNAcentral.